This 373-nucleotide ribosomal RNA is filed under the name uncultured organism. RNAcentral's name for it is "partial 16S ribosomal RNA". It matches the Rfam family "Bacterial small subunit ribosomal RNA", at positions 527 to 896 of the family's 1533-position model. The record is from RNAcentral.
GUAGGUGGCAAGCGUUGUCCGGAAUUAUUGGGCGUAAAGCGCGCGCAGGCGGUUCUUUAAGUCUGAUGUGAAAGCCCACGGCCCAACCGUGGAGGGUCAUUGGAAACUGGAGAACUUGAGUACAGAAGAGGAAAGCGGAAUUCCACGUGUAGCGGUGAAAUGCGUAGAGAUGUGGAGGAACACCAGUGGCGAAGGCGGCUUUCUGGUCUGUAACUGACGCUGAGGCGCGAAAGCGUGGGGAGCAAACAGGGAUUAGAUACCCUGGUAGUCCACGCCGUAAACGAUGAGUGCUAAGUGUUAGGGGGUUUCCCGCCCCUUAGUGCUGCAGCUAACGCAUUAAGCACUCCGCCUGGGGAGUACGGCCGCAAGGCUG